GACGAACGCUGGCGGCGUGCUUAACACAUGCAAGUCGAACGGUGAAGCGAGUGCUUGCACUCGUGGAUCAGUGGCGAACGGGUGAGUAACACGUGAGUAACCUGCCCAUCACUCUGGGAUAAGCACUGGAAACGGUGUCUAAUACUGGAUACGACCAACCCUUGCAUGGGGUGUUGGUGGAAAGAUUUGUCGGUGGUGGAUGGACUCGCGGCCUAUCAGCUUGUUGGCGGGGUAAUGGCCCACCAAGGCGACGACGGGUAGCCGGCCUGAGAGGGUGACCGGCCACACUGGGACUGAGACACGGCCCAGACUCCUACGGGAGGCAGCAGUGGGGAAUAUUGCACAAUGGGCGAAAGCCUGAUGCAGCGACGCCGCGUGAGGGAUGACGGCCUUCGGGUUGUAAACCGCUUUCAGCAGGGAAGAAGCGAAAGUGACGGUACCUGCAGAAGAAGCACCGGCUAACUACGUG
Molecule: ribosomal RNA, 469 nt
Filed under: uncultured bacterium
Lineage: Bacteria
Description: partial 16S ribosomal RNA
Rfam family: Bacterial small subunit ribosomal RNA
Source: RNAcentral